RNAcentral lists this non-coding RNA (174 nucleotides) under Candidatus Cloacimonadota bacterium. Its description in RNAcentral is "6S RNA". It matches the Rfam family "6S / SsrS RNA". Rfam says of the family: E. coli 6S RNA was the first non coding RNA to be sequenced, but its function was unknown until recently. The record is from RNAcentral. Lineage: Bacteria; Pseudomonadati; Candidatus Cloacimonadota.
UGUUGCCUGCGGGACUCGUGAUAUGGAUUGCAGAAAAGCUACUGGAAUAACGGGAACCGAGCCAUGGGUGGCGUGCAAGCCGGCCAGUUCCGGAUCCAUAAAGCUCAAAAGGUAGGUGCCCACCUUGAUGCUUGGCUUUAUCGGACAAGCAUACACGGUCCACGCGGGCUUUUA